This 71-nucleotide transfer RNA is filed under the name Tetrancistrum nebulosi. Its description in RNAcentral is "tRNA-Ser". The record is from RNAcentral. Lineage: Eukaryota; Metazoa; Platyhelminthes; Monogenea; Dactylogyridea; Ancyrocephalidae.
AGUAAAAUAGGUGAUGAGACACCAUAUUGGACUUGAAAUCCGAUUCUAUUGCAAAUGUGCAAGUUUUAUUA